GACGAACGCUGGCGGCGUGCUUAACACAUGCAAGUCGAGCGGUAAGGCCCUUUCGGGGGUACACGAGCGGCGAACGGGUGAGUAACACGUGGGUGACCUGCCUUUAGCUCUGGGAUAAGCCUGGGAAACCGGGUCUAAUACCGGAUAUGACUCCGCGGCGCAUGUUGUGGGGUGGAAAGCCUUGUGCGGCUGGAGAUGGGCCCGCGGCCUAUCAGCUUGUUGGUGGGGUGAUGGCCUACCAAGGCGACGACGGGUAGCCGGCCUCGAGAGGGCGACCGGCCACACUGGGACUGAGACACGGCCCAGACUCCUACGGGAGGCAGCAGUGGGGAAUCUUGCGCAAUGGGCGAAAGCCUGACGCAGCGACGCCGCGUGAGGGAUGACGGCC
This 388-nucleotide ribosomal RNA is filed under the name uncultured bacterium. RNAcentral's name for it is "bacterial SSU rRNA". It matches the Rfam family "Bacterial small subunit ribosomal RNA", at positions 28 to 416 of the family's 1533-position model. The record is from RNAcentral.